Aedes albopictus (Asian tiger mosquito) is the source of this 75-nucleotide non-coding RNA. Lineage: Eukaryota; Metazoa; Arthropoda; Insecta; Diptera; Culicidae. The record is from Rfam.
UGUUCUGUGGCUUAGUUGGUAAAAGUGCCAGUCUAGCGAAUACGCCAGUCGUGGGUUCGAAUCCCACCAGAACGC